AUCAGGAAUAGGAGUAUAUUGAACUCCUAGUACUGCAUCAGGAUAGUCGGUAAAUAGCUCAUUUCAUCGAGGACUACAAUUGGAUUGGCAUCCUCAAAAUAUGUGGUGAGCCCUCUAAUAAGGGUAAAGAGAUUAUGUCCGAAG
This is a non-coding RNA of Theobroma cacao (cacao), 144 nucleotides long. Lineage: Eukaryota; Viridiplantae; Streptophyta; Magnoliopsida; Malvales; Malvaceae. The record is from RefSeq and is a predicted model, not a curated record.